Molecule: ribosomal RNA, 497 nt
Filed under: uncultured bacterium
Lineage: Bacteria
Description: partial 16S ribosomal RNA
Rfam family: Bacterial small subunit ribosomal RNA
Source: RNAcentral
GAUGAACGCUGGCGGCGUGCCUAAUACAUGCAAGUCGAGCGAACAGACGAGGAGCUUGCUCCUCUGACGUUAGCGGCGGACGGGUGAGUAACACGUGGAUAACCUACCUAUAAGACUGGGAUAACUUCGGGAAACCGGAGCUAAUACCGGAUAAUAUAUUGAACCGCAUGGUUCAAUAGUGAAAGACGGUUUUGCUGUCACUUAUAGAUGGAUCCGCGCCGCAUUAGCUAGUUGGUAAGGUAACGGCUUACCAAGGCAACGAUGCGUAGCCGACCUGAGAGGGUGAUCGGCCACACUGGAACUGAGACACGGUCCAGACUCCUACGGGAGGCAGCAGUAGGGAAUCUUCCGCAAUGGGCGAAAGCCUGACGGAGCAACGCCGCGUGAGUGAUGAAGGUCUUCGGAUCGUAAAACUCUGUUAUUAGGGAAGAACAAAUGUGUAAGUAACUAUGCACGUCCUGACGGUACCUAAUCAGAAAGCCAUGGCUAACUACGUG